CUCCACCAUGUGAUUUACAUGUUUGUUUGAUUGCUUAAGGAAAUUUGAUAGGAUUUAACAUGUAUGUAUGCCAUAGAUUGUACCAUGGGUUGCUUGUAUGAAUUUAACAUGUAUGUAUGUGGUUGUAACAACAAUGAGCUAAUUAGAUUCUUUCAUGUGCUUCUUUUAUUUCUCAAAAUUCCCGCAUCUCCAUACUUACAAGAUGUUGAUGGAUUGAGUUUGUGGUAAGCCCAGUUUGUGUUUGAAACAGGUGGAGAAUUUGUCUACAAACUCUGCCUCCACAGCCUGAUACUAGAGGAGCCACAUGAAUAGGCAUGCAUCGUAAGAAGAAAUGGAGGGACGACCAGGAAGAUAAAGAAGGAGAUGCCGAGAGGUUGAUGGGCGACGACGAGGAUAGAUGACAUGGAUGGAUUAUGGCCGGCCACAGAUAUCACUGCCACAAUUGCAAGCUUUGUGCUUGAACAACCAUGGUGGUUCCAGUCAUGCUCCAAGUGCCACAGAUCACCUACCUCAUAUGGAUCAGAGCACCGAUGCGGUGGAGGCUCUUUUCUGAUCAAAGCUUAUCCAAGCUGAUGCCAUCCAAUUUCUUGCAAAGGAUGUAAAAAUUAUCACAGAACCUUCAGAUUUUCUUAUUAAAGCUAGCAAGCCGUACCAGCCAUUUCAUGAAUACAACCUUAAAGUUGACAUCUGCAGUCAACCA
Long non-coding RNA from Lolium rigidum, 700 nucleotides. RefSeq lists it as uncharacterized. The record is from RefSeq and is a predicted model, not a curated record. Lineage: Eukaryota; Viridiplantae; Streptophyta; Magnoliopsida; Poales; Poaceae. The transcript is spliced from 4 exons.